RNAcentral lists this transfer RNA (87 nucleotides) under Chloroflexota bacterium. RNAcentral describes it as "Chloroflexi bacterium tRNA-Leu". It matches the Rfam family "tRNA". Rfam says of the family: Transfer RNA (tRNA) molecules are approximately 80 nucleotides in length. Their secondary structure includes four short double-helical elements and three loops (D, anti-codon, and T loops). The record is from RNAcentral. Lineage: Bacteria; Bacillati; Chloroflexota.
GCCCAGGUGGUGGAAUUGGCAGACACGCUGUCUUGAGGGGGCAGUGCUCGUAAGGGCGUGUGAGUUCGAGUCUCACUCUGGGCACCA